AACGAACGCUGGCGGCAUGCCUAACACAUGCAAGUCGAACGAGACCUUCGGGUCUAGUGGCGCACGGGUGCGUAACGCGUGGGAAUCUGCCCUUCGGUUGGGAAUAACUGAGAGAAAUUUCAGCUAAUACCUUAUAAUGUCUUCGGACCAAAGAUUUAUCGCCGAGGGAUGAGCCCGCGUAGGAUUAGGUAGUUGGUGGGGUAAUGGCCUACCAAGCCGACGAUCCUUAGCUGGUCUGAGAGGAUGAUCAGCCACACUGGGACUGAGACACGGCCCAGACUCCUACGGGAGGCAGCAGUGGGGAAUAUUGGACAAUGGGCGAAGGCCUGAUCCAGCAAUGCCGCGUGAGUGAUGAAGGCCUUAGGGUUGUAAAGCUCUUUUACCCGGGAUGAUAAUGACAGUACCGGGAGAAUAAGCUCCGGCUAACCUCGUGCCAGCAGCCGCAGUAA
RNAcentral lists this ribosomal RNA (449 nucleotides) under uncultured bacterium. Its description in RNAcentral is "partial 16S ribosomal RNA". It matches the Rfam family "Bacterial small subunit ribosomal RNA", at positions 29 to 523 of the family's 1533-position model. The record is from RNAcentral.